Molecule: ribosomal RNA, 253 nt
Filed under: uncultured bacterium
Lineage: Bacteria
Description: partial 16S ribosomal RNA
Rfam family: Bacterial small subunit ribosomal RNA
Source: RNAcentral
UACAGAGGUCUCAAGCGUUGUUCGGAUUCAUUGGGCGUAAAGCGUGCGCAGGCGGUUCGUUAAGUUCGUUGUGAAAGCCCCGGGCUCAACCUGGGAACUGCAAUGGAAACUGGCGGGCUUGAGUGUGGCAGAGGGGGGUGGAAUUCCGCGUGUAGCAGUGAAAUGCGUAGAGAUGCGGAGGAACACCGAUGGCGAAGGCAGCCCCCUGGGUUGACACUGACGCUCAGGCACGAAAGCGUGGGGAGCAAACAGG